Molecule: non-coding RNA, 1073 nt
Organism: Drosophila melanogaster (fruit fly)
Lineage: Eukaryota; Metazoa; Arthropoda; Insecta; Diptera; Drosophilidae
Source: Ensembl
ACAUUCUGUACUUUGCUUAUAUUCAUAUCUGCCGAUAUAUGUAUAUACAUUUCAAGGGGAUACUUAAACGUAUUAUUCGUGGAAUGUUAUGCGAUCUGUUUCGGUUUUACUUGGAAAGUGCUCAAUUGGUGUCUCAAUGAAUCGUACUUAUGGCGGGGAUUAUUGUGCGUCCGUUAAGAUUUGGCACAUGCAUUAUCUCAAUCACUAUCGCCGGAAAUAUAAUCCUUUGCCGAGUGCUCUCCAUUUGAAGCCCAAAGAGUAUACCAGACACGAGAUCAUCCAGGUGACAUCUGGGCGCAGAUAACCGGAGUUGGCAGAGAAUUCCAAUCUGCUGACAGCGACUUGGACUGGAAAUAUUCCGCGUCUUGGGCCCAAAUGAAAAGUGACAAACUUCAAUUGAUGUGCACCCCAUCAAUUAGCCGCACGCACAUCGCAUCCGAUCCACUUGAAACGACCGAACAUCCAACAUCCAUGAUAUCCGAUAUGACCACCACUGAGCUGUGAUGAUCUUCAAGCUCCAUCGUCGAUCGUCUCGUGUUGAGUUCAUUAAGUCAGCGAACCAUGCUGCGCAAAAUGAUGCUGUUCUGCAAUUGAAAUUGAAAUGUUUGUCCACAUAAAUUAUCGAAAUAUUCUGAAUAUAUCCGACGAUAUGGAAAUGAUAAUACAUACAUGUUCGCUCGACGGACGGAUACUAGAAUCUAGCCAAAACUGGCUCCAAACGUCCGUGACCGAAAACUUAACCAGCUUGAACUGGUAAUUUGGACAGAUGGACAGAUGGACAGUUGGACGGUUGGACGGUUGGACGGUUGGACGGACGGGCAGACUUCGCGGCAGACGAACAAUAAUAGCACUCAAUAUUUAACUCGCAUACCAAAUAUUUUGCGUUAUUUGUAUAAUACUAUGCCGCAAAUGAAUUGAAGCGGCCCGAAAGUCGUUCAAUGGAAUGUGACGAACUACAAAUAUGAAUCCACAAAGUAUACACUCUACAAGUAAUAUGAUACCCACCUCUCUUAAAUGUAAAUCUAAAGAAAGUAUGUUCCAUUAAACUAUACUAUCUUAUAAAGUAAGCAAAU